RNAcentral lists this microRNA (18 nucleotides) under Corchorus capsularis. RNAcentral describes it as "sRNA CCACVL1_25150". Lineage: Eukaryota; Viridiplantae; Streptophyta; Magnoliopsida; Malvales; Malvaceae. The record is from RNAcentral.
GAAAGAGAGCUGAGGGUC